RNAcentral lists this microRNA precursor (207 nucleotides) under Oryza nivara. RNAcentral's name for it is "MIR812 microRNA precursor family". It matches the Rfam family "MIR812 microRNA precursor family". The record is from Rfam by way of RNAcentral. Lineage: Eukaryota; Viridiplantae; Streptophyta; Magnoliopsida; Poales; Poaceae.
AAAAAAGAUAGACCCUGGUUUCCGUGCCCAACGUUUGACCGUCCGUCUUAUUUAAAAAAAUUAUAAAAAAAAUUAAAAAGACAAGUCACGCAUAAAAUAUUAAUCAUGUUUUAUCAUCUAAUAACAAUGAAAAUACGAAUUAUAAAAAAAAUUUCAUAUAAGACGGACAGUCAAAGUUGGACACGGAAACCCAUGAUUUGCCUUUUU